AGAUUGAACGCUGGCGACAUGCUUUACACAUGCAAGUCGAACGGCAGCGCGGGGCAACCUGGCGGCGAGUGGCGAACGGGUGAGUAAUAUAUCGGAACGUACCCAAGAGUGGGGGAUAACGUAGCGAAAGUUACGCUAAUACCGCAUACGAUCUAAGGAUGAAAGCAGGGGACCGCAAGGCCUUGUGCUCCUGGAGCGGCCGAUAUCUGAUUAGCUAGUUGGUAGGGUAAAGGCCUACCAAGGCUACGAUCAGUAGCUGGUCUGAGAGGACGACCAGCCACACUGGAACUGAGACACGGUCCAGACUCCUACGGGAGGCAGCAGUGGGGAAUUUGGACAAUGGGCGCAAGCCUGGAUCCAGCAAUGCCGCGUGAGUGAAGAAGGCCUUCGGUGUAAGCUCUUUGUCAGGAAGAAACGGUGGGCUAAUAUCCUCCACUAAUGACGUACCAGAAGAAUAAGACGAACCGCUAACUACGUGCCAGCAGCCG
RNAcentral lists this ribosomal RNA (488 nucleotides) under uncultured soil bacterium. RNAcentral describes it as "bacterial SSU rRNA". It matches the Rfam family "Bacterial small subunit ribosomal RNA", at positions 26 to 517 of the family's 1533-position model. The record is from RNAcentral.